This 406-nucleotide ribosomal RNA is filed under the name uncultured bacterium. RNAcentral's name for it is "partial 16S ribosomal RNA". It matches the Rfam family "Bacterial small subunit ribosomal RNA", at positions 30 to 526 of the family's 1533-position model. The record is from RNAcentral.
AUUGAACGCUGGCGGCAGGCUUAACACAUGCAAGUCGAGCGAGCGGCGGACGGGUGAGUAAUGUAUGGGAAACUGCCUGCUGGAGGGGGAUAACUACUGGAAAAGGUAGCUAAUACCGCAUACCAUCAGAUGUGCCCAGAUGGGAUUAGCUAGUAGGUGGGGUAAUGGCUCACUUAGGCGACGAUCCCUAGCUGGUCUGAGAGGAUGACUAGCCACACUGGAACUGCGACACGGUCCAGACUCCUGCGGGAGGCAGCAGGGGGGAAUAGUGCACAAGGGGCGCAAUCUUGAUGCAGCCAUGCCGCGUGUGUGAAGAAGGCCUUCGGGUUGGAAAGCACUUUCAGCGAGGAGGCGUUACUCGCAGAAGAAGCACCGGCUAACUCCGUGCCAGCAGCCGCGGUAAUAC